UUGGGAAUUUUGGGCAAUGGGCGAAAGCCUGACCCAGCGACGCCGCGUGCGGGAUGAAGGCCUUCGGGUCGUAAACCGCUGUCAGGGGGGAAGAUGCCCGCAAGGGUGACGGUACCCCCAGAGGAAGCCCCGGCUAACUACGUGCCAGCAGCCGCGGUAAGACGUAGGGGGCAAGCGUUGUCCGGAUUUACUGGGCGUAAAGCGCGUGUAGGCGGCCUGCUAAGUGGCGUGUGAAAGCCCACCGCUCAACGGUGGGAGGCCGCGCCAUACUGGCGGGCUUGAGGGUGGCAGAGGGUGAUGGAAUUCCCGGUGUAGCGGUGAAAUGCGUAGAUAUCGGGAGGAACGCCAGUGGCGAAGGCGGUCACCUGGGCCAUCCCUGACGCUGAGACGCGAAAGCUGGGGGAGCGAACGGG
This 413-nucleotide ribosomal RNA is filed under the name uncultured bacterium. RNAcentral's name for it is "bacterial SSU rRNA". It matches the Rfam family "Bacterial small subunit ribosomal RNA", at positions 355 to 776 of the family's 1533-position model. The record is from RNAcentral.